GGUAGAGCGCUUGACUGUUAAUCAAGAUGUCGUCAGUUCGAGUCUGACAGCCGGAG
Molecule: non-coding RNA, 56 nt
Organism: Lactobacillus kalixensis DSM 16043
Lineage: Bacteria; Bacillati; Bacillota; Bacilli; Lactobacillales; Lactobacillaceae
Source: Rfam